RNAcentral lists this ribosomal RNA (481 nucleotides) under uncultured bacterium. Its description in RNAcentral is "bacterial SSU rRNA". It matches the Rfam family "Bacterial small subunit ribosomal RNA", at positions 31 to 507 of the family's 1533-position model. The record is from RNAcentral.
GAACGCUGGCGGCAGGCCUAACACAUGCAAGUCGAGCGGUAGAGAGGUGCUUGCAUCUCUUGAGAGCGGCGGACGGGUGAGUAAUGCCUAGGAAUCUGCCUAGUGGUGGGGGAUAACGUUCGGAAACGGACGCUAAUACCGCAUACGUCCUACGGGAGAAAGCAGGGGACCUUCGGGCCUUGCGUUAUCAGAUGAGCCUAGGUCGGAUUAGCUAGUAGGUGAGGUAAUGGCUCACCUAGGCGACGAUCCGUAACUGGUCUGAGAGGAUGAUCAGUCACACUGGAACUGAGACACGGUCCAGACUCCUACGGGAGGCAGCAGUGGGGAAUAUUGGACAAUGGGCGAAAGCCUGAUCCAGCCAUGCCGCGUGUGUGAAGAAGGUCUUCGGAUUGUAAAGCACUUUAAGUUGGGAGGAAGGGCAGUAAGUUAAUACCUUGCUGUUUUGACGUUACCAACAGAAUAAGCACCGGCUAACUUCGUG